RNAcentral lists this long non-coding RNA (2794 nucleotides) under Sus scrofa (pig). Its description in RNAcentral is "lncRNA (ENSSSCG00005012844.1)". The record is from RNAcentral. Lineage: Eukaryota; Metazoa; Chordata; Mammalia; Artiodactyla; Suidae.
GGCUGCACCCACAGCAUAUGGAGGUUCCCAUGCUAGGGGUCGAUGGGAGCUGUAGCCACUGGCCAAUACCACAGCCACAGCAACACAGGAUACAAGCCAGUCUGCAACCUACACCACAGCUCAUGGCCACCAAUGCUGAAUCCUUAACCCACUUAGCGAGACCAGGGGUCAAACACACGUCCUCAUGGAUUCUAGUCAGGUUCAUUACUGCUGAGCCACAAGGAUUCCCCUUUUUUCUUUUAGAGGUUUUUCUAUUAUUUGUCUUCCUCUGAUUGAGUUAAGUUACCUUAGCCUUCCUCUUGGAUAUGUUCUUCCUUUUUCCCCCAAAAAAGCUUCCCUCCUCUCUAUCCUCCAACACCAAACCAGCAAACUGUUCUUCAUCCAGUCAGUCUUCCUAAUAAAUACUUUCAUAAUGCCCCAAAAGAGAUUUGGGUGCCUCUUCUCUCGGUUAUUUUUUGCUUAUACUGCCCCCACCCCUGCCAAAGCAUUUUCUAGGUUGUUAAUUGUUGAUUCUCAAAAUGUAGUACAUUGCAAUGCACAGUACUCACUAAAUUCUAAAUUCUUCAAGAACAGAGGUUCUGCCUUACUUGUCUUUGUAAUUCCAGCGCCUAAUAAAUAGUAAGCAAUCAAUAAAUAACUUCUUAAAUAAAUGACUUUUUUAAAGGCUUAUCAGGUGCCACAAUACAGUUAGCAUUUAUGGUGUCCUACCAAGACUUUCUUAUGGACCAGGCACUGUGCCAACAACUUGGCACACAUUCUCUCUGAAUCUUCCUAAAAACCCUGUGAAGUAGGUAGAGUUAAUAACCACCUUUUAUAAAAGGGUAAAGUGAUUUUUAGAGAUACUAAGUAUUUCAGAAUUUGAACUCAAAGUUUGACCUCCAAAGUUUAUGCUCCUAUGCAUUUUAUACUUCAAAGGGAAAGGAUAACAAAUAAAUUGAUGUAAUAGGAUUGUUUCAAGAGAGCGUAUUUAAAUAUUUAAGUUAGGUGUUAUCUACGGUAUCGUAGUGAAGGCUGCUUUGUAAGGCUUCCUAAAAUAUAUAAGCAUAUGCAUGAAAUCUUACAAUCAAGGGUUUUCCUACUUUUGCUGCUUUUGUUCCUCAUGCCUUAGUACAUGCUGUUCUCAAUCUAUCAAGCUCUUACCAACUUAUCCAUCUGUAGAAUUCCAAUCCAUACUUUAAAACUUUGCUAGGGCAUCCCUUUAAACUGGAGGAUUUCUGCCUGGAGAGAUUCACAUCGUAAGUGGUUACUAUUCCUCACAAUUAAUUUAUUAAUGUAUAUUCAUAGAUGAUAUUAUAUUUAUUUACUUACAUGUCUAUCUUCCCUGUUCACUUUGAAUGUUUUCAAAGGCAGAGUCCUUUUCUUCCUCAUCUUCAUACUCCUAGUACUUGUAUAGCAAAAAGCCACAUAUAUAUCAAGUUAUUUAGUAAAAAUAUUGGCUUAUCGAAUUUCUAUGCCUCCCAGUUGGGUUUUCAGUAGAUUUUGAGGUAUUACCUUACCCUAACAGUGGCCAACCAGGCUGUGAAAAAUAUCCAGACUUGCCACUGCCCAUGUUCCUUCCUUCUCAAUGCUUUCCCUUUCUCCACACAUUUCUCCAUACCAUUCCUUUUGGUUGCAAAGCCCUUAUUUCAACCCAGGCUUGCCUCUGCCAAGCCUAUAUUCUGAAUGACCACAAUAUACCUUUGAUGUGCAUCUACUAUGGCUUGGGCUAGAUUUGAAAACACAAACAAGGCAAGCACUUCAUAACCUUGAGGGUAGAUAGACACUAAAAGUAGAGAUAAUCACCUUAUGUGAUGAUAAAAGAUAGAUGUACGUGCCAUUAACUAAGAUGGAGCAAAUUAAUUCUGCUUGAGGAGGAUUAGGAUGAUAUGAUCGAAAGUUACACCUGAAUCAGGACUUGUACCAGGUUCUUUCAGGUUGUGGGGGCGAUGAAAAGGCAAGGCAAGAGGCAUUAUAUACAAGAUAGCACUUGUGUAAAGGCAAGACCUGAAGAAGUACAAUACAAUCUUGAAGAGGAAGCAGUUGGAUGAGCUUCAACACAAUAUAUAAGGGUCUUGAGAGAGUAAUGAGAGAUGAGGCUGGAGGUCCAAGUUGAAGUAAAAGAGUAAAGAUAAAAGGCCCAUGUGCCAGACUGAAUAUUUUAUACAAGCCAAAAUGAAAAGGCACCCCUUAAGGUUUUUAAUCAAGGUCAUGACAUAACUAGAUUUAUGUUUGGGAAAUAACUUCAGCAAAAGAUAGAAUAUGGACUAAAGGAGAGAAAGCUAGAGGUAGUUUUUUUGUUUUUUUUUUUGUUUGUUUUUUUUUUUUGCUUUUUAGAGCUGAACCAUGGCAUAUGGAAGUUCUCAAGCUAGGGGUCAAAUCGGAGCUACAGCUGCCUGCCUACACCAAGAAAUGAGCUAAGGAAGCAGCAACAGGCCUAACAUGAAAAAAAACUGAAAAGAUUUAUGGAUUAAAAAGGAGGCAGAUUCUAUAGGAUCUUGUGACUGGUUGACUAUAGAGGAAAAGGAAGAGGUGGCAGAGGACUCCUGCAUUUCUAACUUGGGAAACGGGGGUGACCAGGGAUGACGCCAUCAAAGACAGUGGAAGAUAUUAAAAGUUUAAUUACAUAAAUGCUGAUUCUGAAGAACCACCAGGACAUACUGUUAACCAGUUACUCUAGGACUUAGUCAUAUGUUGUCAAAUUAACUUCAUGUGUUUAUGUAAGACUUCUCAACCAAUGAUGAAAUCUUGAAGAUCUUUUAUUUUUUUCCCAGCAUCACCAGUAUAUAGAAAGGCUUCAUUAAAACAACAAACCCUU